This 458-nucleotide ribosomal RNA is filed under the name uncultured bacterium. RNAcentral's name for it is "bacterial SSU rRNA". It matches the Rfam family "Bacterial small subunit ribosomal RNA", at positions 340 to 789 of the family's 1533-position model. The record is from RNAcentral.
UACGGAAGGCAGCAGUGGGGAAUAUUGCACAAUGGGCGCAAGCCUGAUGCAGCCAUGCCGCGUGUAUGAAAAAGGCCUUCGGGUUGUAAAGUACUUUCAGUCGUGAGGAAGGUGUUAAGGUUAAUAACCUUAGCAAUUGACGUUAGCGACAGAAGAAGCACCGGCUAACUCCGUGCCAGCAGCCGCGGUAAUACGGAGGGUGCGAGCGUUAAUCGGAAUUACUGGGCGUAAAGGGCACGCAGGCGGUUAAUUAAGUUGGAUGUGAAAUCCCCGGGGCUUAACCUGGGAAUGGCAUUCAAGACUGGUUAGCUAGAGUCUUGUAGAGGGGGUUAGAAUUCCAUGUGUAGCGGUGAAAUGCGUAGAGAUGUGGAGGAAUACCGGUGGCGAAGGCGGCCCCUGGACAAAGACUGACGCUCAUGUGCGAAAGCGUGGGGAGCAAACAGGGAUUAGAUACCCGU